Molecule: small RNA, 148 nt
Filed under: Salvator merianae (Argentine black and white tegu)
Lineage: Eukaryota; Metazoa; Chordata; Lepidosauria; Squamata; Teiidae
Description: 7SK RNA (ENSSMRG00000012207.1)
Source: RNAcentral
UCCCUUCUGAAGCAGCACACGUGGUGGAAGAGGACAAGUGAUCCAUGUAGAAGAAAUGCACUGAUCUUUGGUCAAGGGUCAACAAUAGCUGCGCUCCCCUGCUAGAACUUCCAAACAAGUUCACCAUCUAGUUCUAGGAGUAGAAAUC